Non-coding RNA from Otolemur garnettii (small-eared galago), 103 nucleotides. NCBI's taxonomy places the organism in Eukaryota, Metazoa, Chordata, Mammalia, Primates, Galagidae. The record is from Rfam.
UUGCUUCAGCAGCACAAAUACUAAAAUUGGAAUGAUGCAGAGAAGAUUAGCAUGGCCCCUGCCCAAGAAUGACAUGCAAGGCUGAGCACCAUGGCUCAUGCCU